ACGCGGUACAUGGCCCCUGC
Molecule: unclassified non-coding RNA, 20 nt
Filed under: Chlamydomonas reinhardtii
Lineage: Eukaryota; Viridiplantae; Chlorophyta; Chlorophyceae; Chlamydomonadales; Chlamydomonadaceae
Description: small RNA Cre_0318
Source: RNAcentral